GUCUCUUUGAUUAUACUUAUAUAAAGAGUUUGACCUGCCCAGUGAUACAAUUUAACGGCCGCAGUACUCUGACUGUGCAAAGGUAGCAUAAUAAUUUGCCUUAUAAUUGAUGGCUAGUAUGAACGGUUUGACGAAAGCAUUUCUGUCUCAAAUAUAUUUUUUAUAAUUUAUCUUUUAGGUUAAAAGACCUAAAUAAAACAAAAGGACGAGAAGACCCUAUCGAGCUUUAAAAAAAUUUGAUAAAAGAAAUAUUAUUAAGAUUUCUUUUUAUUAAAAGUUUUUUUUGGUUGGGGCGACCUAGGAACAAAUAAAACUUCCUUAAAUAAUAAAAUAGUGCAAAUGAUCCAACAUAAUGUUGAUAAGUGGAAUUAGUUACCGUAGGGAUAACAGCGUUAUUUUUUUCGAGAGAUCUUAUCAAGGAAAAAGUUUGCGACCUCGAUGUUGGAUUGAGAUAACUUAAAGGUGCAGGAGCUUUUAUAAGUUAGUCUGUUCGACUAUAAAAAUCUCACAU
Molecule: ribosomal RNA, 511 nt
Filed under: Cochlostoma sardoum
Lineage: Eukaryota; Metazoa; Mollusca; Gastropoda; Architaenioglossa; Cochlostomatidae
Description: partial 16S ribosomal RNA
Rfam family: Bacterial large subunit ribosomal RNA
Source: RNAcentral